UACGAAGGGGGCUAGCGUUGUUCGGAAUUACUGGGCGUAAAGCGCGCGUAGGUGGCCACAUAAGUCCGUUGUGAAAGUCAAAGGCUCAACCUUUGAAAGCCGAUGGAUACUGUGUGGCUAGAGUACGGAAGAGGCGAGUGGAAUUCCUGGUGUAGCGGUGGAAUGCGCAGAUAUCAGGAGGAACACCAAUAGCGAAGGCAGCUCGCUGGGACGUUACUGACACUGAGGCGCGAAAGCGUGGGGAGCGAACAGG
RNAcentral lists this ribosomal RNA (253 nucleotides) under uncultured bacterium. Its description in RNAcentral is "partial 16S ribosomal RNA". It matches the Rfam family "Bacterial small subunit ribosomal RNA", at positions 524 to 776 of the family's 1533-position model. The record is from RNAcentral.